Molecule: ribosomal RNA, 602 nt
Filed under: uncultured marine bacterium
Lineage: Bacteria
Description: bacterial SSU rRNA
Rfam family: Bacterial small subunit ribosomal RNA
Source: RNAcentral
AGUCGAACGAGAAAGCACUUUCGGGUGCGAGUAAAGUGGCGGACGGCGGAGUAACGCGUAGGGAUUUACCUGGUAGUGGGGGACAACUCGAGGAAACUCGAGCUAAUACCGCAUACGCUCCAAGGAGGAAAGUGGGGGACCUUCGGGCCUCACGCUAUUAGAGAAACCUGCGUUAGAUUAGCUUGUUGGUGGGGUAAUGGCCUACCAAGGCGACGAUCUAUAGCUGGUCUGAGAGGACGAUCAGCCCGACUGGAACUGAGACACGGUCCAGACAGCUACGGUUGGCAGCAGGUGGGAAUAUUGGUCAAUGGGCGCAAGCCUGAACCAGCGAUGCCGCGUGUGCGAAGAAGGCCCUAGGGUUGUAAAGCACUUUCAGUCGUGAAGAAAACCUGAUGAUUAAUAAUCAUCGGUCUUGACGUUAGCGACAGAAGAAGAUCCGGCUAACUCCGUGCCAGCAGCCGCGGUAAUACGGAGGGAUCGAACGCUAAUCGGAAUUACUGGGCGUAAAAGCGCGCGUAGGCGGUUUCGAUAAGUGGAGUGUGAAAUCCCUGGGCUCAACCUGGGAACUGCAUUCCAAACUGUUGGACUAGAGUAUGGGUAGA